Molecule: transfer RNA, 71 nt
Filed under: Loxodonta africana (African savanna elephant)
Lineage: Eukaryota; Metazoa; Chordata; Mammalia; Proboscidea; Elephantidae
Rfam family: tRNA
About the family: Transfer RNA (tRNA) molecules are approximately 80 nucleotides in length. Their secondary structure includes four short double-helical elements and three loops (D, anti-codon, and T loops).
Source: Rfam by way of RNAcentral
GCAUUGGUGGUUCGGUGGCAGAAUUGUCGCCUUCCACUCAGGAGACCCAGGUUUGAUACCUGGCCAAUGUA